Molecule: microRNA precursor, 86 nt
Organism: Catharus ustulatus (Swainson's thrush)
Lineage: Eukaryota; Metazoa; Chordata; Aves; Passeriformes; Turdidae
Source: Ensembl
CCUGCUCCGUCGCCCCAGUGUUCAGACUACCUGUUCAGGACAAUGCUGUUGUACAGUAGUCUGCACAUUGGUUAGACUGGGCAAGG